Molecule: long non-coding RNA, 8545 nt
Filed under: Brassica napus (rape)
Lineage: Eukaryota; Viridiplantae; Streptophyta; Magnoliopsida; Brassicales; Brassicaceae
Description: long non-coding RNA (BNAP_LNC018153)
Source: RNAcentral
UUGAUUCUGAGCUUCAUUUUGUUUAGCUGCUUUGCGAGUGUUGUUUCCCUUACUGUUAUGUUCUGUCAAGUUGUAAACUUGGGUUGAUAGUGAGUGUUAUUCCAAAGUCUGUACCUUUAUGUUUUCUGAGUUUAGGCUUUUACGAGUUAUUUGGAGAACUGAAGUUUUGAUGAAUUAGUAGCCAUUAAUCAUCUCAAUUGAAGAAGCUUUAUUGCAGAACAGGCUAGUCAUUUUGGCAGUGUUACUCUGAUAGUUAUCUUGCUGAAUGACGUUUUCUGAUAAUUUAUAUAGAGUUAUAGCUCUUGUAUUCUCCUUUGAAGUAGUACGUUCAUUCUCUAACUUGUGUUGUGAACAGAUUGUGGAGGUGAUGAUCCGGAGCUCAAACAAGAAAUGGAGAAGCAGUUUGUGGACCUUCUGACCGAAGAGCUGAAGCUGCAAGAAGCAGUUGCAGAUGAGCAUAGCCGUCAUAUGAACGUUACACUCUUAGAAGCUAAGAGAGUUGCGUCUCAGUACCAAAAGGAAGCUGAGAAAUGCAACGCCGCCACUGAGAUCUGUGAGUCAGCUAGGGAGAGAGCUGAAGCUUUGCUGAUCAAGGAGAGGAAGAUCACUGCUUUGUGGGAGAAGAGAGCUCGGCAAUCAGGGUGGGAAGGUGAGUAAAAACUGAUUGCCCCCUUCUCAUGUCAAACCCUGAAGUGUUUUUGUCUGAGAAACCGAAUUUUUAAGGGAAAGUCCUUUAUGUUCCACGUGUGUUCGGGUUGAUUAUAUAAAAAUAUAUAUUUAAAAAAAAAAAACAAAAACAAAACCGACGGCCCCGAACGCCCGGGCCUACUGCUUAGUAUGCAAUUGCGAGUUAUGUUUUGAAGUCAUGUUGUCGAACAAUGAAUAGUUUGCAAAAUGUUUUGAACAAAGGAGAGAGUUAAAAGCGAAAGCAACUGCAAACUUAUCGUGUGACAAUUCAAAGGGGACGAUUACUAUUACUACCACUCAUGUUCAACCACGAAUCUUUCGUGUACGAUGCGAUCUCAUUUUUUAUUUAAUUUGUGUCCCAAUAAGAAAUAAUUGUAGGCCGAUUGAGUCAGCGACAUGACAUGACAUGUUCAUCAUCCUGCCCAUUUUCUCACAACCACAUAACAAGACAAGAACCUUAAACUGUUCAUUUUCUUUUGAAUCUCGCCAAUUUUCUCAGAUAAGAAAACUACUGUUUGUGUAAGGGAUGAAGAAAUCUUCAUGGGGUUGCACAAUCUUUAUCCAGUUAUCUCUCUGUCUCAUCGUCUAUGUGUCUCUGCAUUUUGGUCACCAAUCUUUGUUAUCCAGCAACGACGGUGACAAUGCCGGAGCUCUAGAUCUUCAUUUCAUCUCCGUCUCCGGUGGUUUCAGGCCUCUUCAACGUCAAACUCGUCUUCUCCGAUUGGUGUGUGUUUCUUCCCAUCUUCUUUCAAUGAUGAAAGUUUGGUUCUUUAUAGAAAUCCUAGCCUCCUCAGAUUGAAAAACUGAGUCUUUUAUAUUAAUUAGAUCACACUCUUGGUUCCACCAGAAAGGAGAAAAAUGUUGAUUUUUUUUUUGCUUCUUCUUAGCAUUGCUAGUUAGGCCUUUACAAGUUAGGUUGUUGAUUUUAAGGAUAUUAUAUGUUUCCUUGGUAGAUAAGAGAUUAUUGUACUGAUGUUGUGCUGUUGUUUUGAUGGAUGAAGAUGGAGAGAGUUGCGGAAACUUACAAGGCUAAAUUUGUGGUGAGCACAAGUGAGGAUGGAGGAGGAGAUCUACUCCUGCUAAAUGUCAGCUCUCAAGCUUAAUCUUCUUAUUUGCUUACUUGAACUCUAGUGGAUAUGAACAAAAAGGUUAUGAUCUCUUUUGUUUUAGACAGUUUAUGAGUAAUGAGUGUGUUGGUGUUUUGGCAGGAUACUAGUGUUUCCUCUUCACUGAAACUUCCGUGGUAAUUUGAUUUUGUAGAACAGAUUCUUUCAGCUAAGUUACUUCAACUAUAAGACUGGUCAAUGUUAUGCAAAUUUAGGUAUACUACGAAGAAAGGAUCCGGGAGUUUCAGAGAGCACAUCGAGUUGCCUUUUGGUGGAUCCUUGGAUGUUGUUUUUGUAGACACUGCCUCGUUACAGAAGGUAGCAUCAGUUUAUAUCUGUGAAUCUAAAGGAAAUGAACAUGAGAUUUUUCUUCUGUUUUCAUACUGAUUAAUAAUUCCACCAUCUUACUGCAAUUCAAGCAAAUGAUGAGUGGAGGAUUGAAUGGCUCGAUGAUCAGUCAAUUAAAAGAACUUACAAAGAUUCUAAAAGCAGCAGAUGGAGACUGGUAAGUCUGCUACUCAGCUCAUAGACUCUCUUGAUCUCUCAAGAACUUGUGGCAAUACCGCAACAAAGCUCCUUUGUUUAUUAGUUGCUUACCUAAUUUUCUUUAUGGAUGAAACAACAUUCUAUAGUCGUUUUUGAUACAGGCGCAUUGUGGUUGGAUCAGACCCGUUAUUCGCAUAUACACUAAGUAAUGGUCCAGAGGAAGCCAAGGGAGCUGCAAGGACAUUUCAGCAAAUCACCAUCAAAUAUGGAGUGGUAAGACACUGAAAACCCCAUCACAUUCCAGAAUUUUUUUUUAUCGCCGUAUCUAGUCCAGUGAAAUGGAAAACAUCUGAGAGAAAAAACUUUGAUGAUUCAAGAACAUGUAUAUAAGCGAAAAGGGCUGUAGCAACGGAGCCAACGAAGAUAGCUUCACUUGCAUUAUGGUUCCUAAUGCAUCAGAGAACCGAGGUUUAACGAAUGAUAGUGAGAGGUAACAACUAACAACAUUAUUAAUCAUAAACAUUAUUAAUCAUAUCUCAAUAUCUCUAAUAUUAAAUGCAUAACUGUCAGGGAAAUGGAAGAUGGGUUUCUUCUUCACAGAGUUAGCUUCUCAGAGUUUGUAAGUGUACUUCUUUCUCUAGUUAUGACAUGUCCUCUUGACAAAAAGUGAAAUAAUGUCUUCUUUGUAUAUCAUAAAACAGGUUACAUAUACUAUCAACUUAUCAGGACAAGUCAUAGACACAAGAAUAGUUAAGCAAAAGGGCAAAGAGUCCAUCUAAGAUUAUUUUCAUAUUUUUGUGUGUGUUAUACCCCUCUCCAUCGUUGUAAACUCUGUAAAGCACCAACAUUCUUUAUUCUUCCUUUUAAGUGACCAAAAUACCCUUUCACAGCUCGGAGUCUCAGGUUAAUCACCGGAGGGUGAAACUGGAAAUUGCAAGCUAGAAAAAUGGGUAAUAUAAAUUUUCUAAAGGAGUGGCCUUUGGAUUUUUACACUCAUUAGUUUAAGUAUGAGGUUCUGCUCCCGGAGGGUCUCGACAUGGCGGCCAUCUAUGGCCUCGCCGUCGUUAUCUUCCGGUGGAAGCGGACGCCGAUGAUUUCAAAUCUUUCUUUGAUGAGCCACUUGAAAAAGUGGUGAUGAAUCAUUUAAAACAAUAUACUCCAUGGCCAUCACAACUACUCUGUCUUCCUCGCUUUCACAUGGAUUCCUUUUCUUUAUAUAUAUAUAUAUAAGGUUUCACUCUCUUCUUCUUCUUCUUCUUCUUCUUCUUCUUGGGAGACUAUGAUGAUUCUUAAGAAGUCAAAUGGACCAGACGUUGGUUGUGGUAAACACUCUCUUACAUGGCGGGGCUUUAAUAGCAGCCAUGGCGGAAGAGUUUUUAUCCUUCAAUCUGUCUGAGAAAAGGCGAAUCUGAGUCCUCCUCUGUGACAUGCAAAGUUUUUUUUAUUUCAUAUAAAAAAAGUAAAUUUUUAUUAGCUACUGUUAAAGCUUUGAUUCAUCAUCUUUGUAUUAUUGAACUAGUCAAAUGAUUUUUGUCAUCUCAUCUUUGGUUACAACUUACAACACAAAGAAAAUGGACAAAGCUUGCAUAUGUGUUGUUUUGCCUAAUAGUGUGUUCUUUCUACAUCUACCAUAGAAAAUGUGCGUAUGCAUGUGGUUUAGAUCAGUGUUGCCAACUAAGGAUUUCGGAUUAUAACCGUAGACAGGAAAGAAUGAACUUCAUCAUCUUUUUAUAGAUAGUAAUUAACAACUGUUAAAGCUCGCACAGCAUUAUUGGUUGCUUAAAACGUUAAUUGUGGGUCUAAACCCUUUUGUUUUCAACUGAGAGAAUGAAUGAAACAAGAGAUUAAAGAAGUUAACUUUGAAAAAUGUUGUGGUAUCAGGAUGCAAUUAUAACCUUUUGUGACAGCUCAACUAACUGAUAUGAGUGGGGCUCUGUUUUGAUCAAUAAUCUGACUCUGUGGGACAAUUAUUCUUUAUUAAAACUUGCCAGUUUAGAUUGCCUUGUUGUAUUUAUCUAUUUAUGUUCUCUGUUUUAAAAUUAUUAUCGGUGGGUGAGAGAACUUUGCCGUUACUACUUUAUUUUCCGUACUAAUCAAAGAAAAAGCUGGUUUCCAGUUUGGUUUCUUGUUUGGUAAUGAACCAGCUUACAGCUAUGUAUUGCUUAAAAAUAUAUACUGGAAAAUCUAGUGGUCCUAUUGCCAAGUGUGUUACAGUUCUGAAAUGUGGGAUGUGUUGUUCUUCCUAGUAUCAUAGCCUCAGUGACACUUUCUCAGUUAAAGGAUUAAUUUUCUGGAUACUAAUGUUCUUGGCAGUCACAUGUACCAACCUGUUUUCAGAACUCUGUGUAUAACUGGAUCUUAUAACGAACAAAUAGAUGGCAGAUUAUUGUAUAGUAAGGUGUUUGUUAAGAUGGGAGUCAGUUCUGUGUAGAUAUCAUACGUCUACUUGUGUUAGUGAUUGUUAGUCUUUUUUUGUUUGACAAUAGCAUUGUUGAGAGCAUAUGAAAAGUUAUUGUUAUACAGACAAACAUUUCCCUUAUUUAUCUCACUUUUUACCUCCACAAGCUCCAAAAGAGUUCACACUGGAUAACAAAAGCUGACGCAGACACAAGACCAAACACACAUCCUCUUAUUUAUUAUAGUCUGUUGGUUCGAGUUGUACUUUCUCAGUUCUGCACAGAGAGAGAUAUGGAGAGAAUGUCUGCUUGUUUAUGUCUUGCGUUCCUUUUAUUCUCUUUUGUUACAGAUGCAACGUAUAUCCCAAGACGUUCUCACCAUCUUUUAUCUUCGAGACAAAACAGGAAGACCUCCAAGUCAAACACAGAGUUGCCCUCUCACUUUGAGACUCGUUACUUCCCUCAGAAUCUUGACCACUUCAGUUUCCAGCCAGAGAGUUACGAAGUCUUCCACCAAAAGUACCUCAUAAACAGUCGUUUCUGGCGCAAAGGUGGCCCCAUCUUCGUCUAUACAGGCAAUGAAGGCGAUAUAGAGUGGUUUGCUUCCAACACCGGUUUCAUGCUGGACAUUGCUCCAAAGUUCCAGGCUCUUCUAGUCUUCAUCGAGGUAAAAGCUUUACCAAAAUCCCAUUGUUUGAAGAAUCUCUAACUUAAAACACUAAUGCUUAUUGUCUUUUCCUUAAUCCUUGCAGCAUAGGUUCUAUGGAGAGUCAAAGCCGCACAAGCUGGCCAAUACAUUGGGAUUCUUGAACUCACAGCAAGCGUUGGCUGAUUACGCUAUCUUGAUAAGAAGCUUGAAGCAUAAUCUAACCUCUGAAGCAUCUCCUGUCAUAGUCUUCGGUGGCUCUUAUGGUGGAAGUAAGAUUAAAAAAAAAGUCAAUAUUAGUUUCUUAUUGCUACAUUUUGCUCUUAUAAACGAUCUUCUGUUGUACUCUCUGAGACAGUGCUUGCGGCGUGGUUCAGGCUAAAGUAUCCACAUAUAACAAUUGGCGCACUAGCAUCCUCUGCUCCGAUUCUGAACUUCGAUAAUAUUGUUCCAUCUUCAAGCUUCUACGACACCGUUUCUCAGGACUUCAAGGUAUGUAUAUAUAUAUCAAACAUGGUUGUUAGUCUGUAAGCAUACUUAACUAUGAACUUUCUCAUUACGAGCAGAACGUGAGUGCUAACUGUUUUGAAGUCAUCAAGAGAAGCUGGGGAGAAAUGGAAGUAUUCUCCACCAUUAAAGAUGGUUUACAAGAACUCAGCAAAAUGUUCAGAACUUGCAAGUAAAUAAAAAAAUCUGUUUUCCUUCAAUGUUGAUUCAUUGUUUAGUUCCAAACAAUCUAAGAGAACGUUUUUGAUGAAUCACAGGACCCUACACUCUGUUGACUCAGCCUCUGGUUGGCUAGAGACAGCUUUUAUUGAAACAGCAAUGGUUAAUUAUCCAACACCUGCAAAUUUCAUGGCUCCACUGCCUGCUUAUCCAGUGGAACAGAUGUGCAAGAUCAUGGACGAGUUACCUCUAGACGCUAGCAAUCUAGAGCGUGCGUUUGCCGCUGCGAGUUUAUACUACAACUAUUCAGGUUCAGAGAGUUGCUUCGAUAUGGAAAACCAUACUGAUUCUCAUGGACUCAACGGUUGGGGGUGGCAGGUAUUCAUUAGAGUCUAUAUUUUCUCUGUUUCUUCUUUUACUCACAAGGGAAAAGAAGCUAAUGGAUCAAUGGGAAAAAAAAAGGCAUGCACAGAGAUGGUGAUGCCAAUGAGCUGCUCGAACCAUACCAUGUUUCGACCAUUUGAAAGUGAUGAUGAGAAAGCAAACCAAAAAUAUUGUCUGAGGGAAUACGGUGUCAAGCCUAGACCACACUGGAUCACCGCUGAGUUUGGCGGGCAGGUUAGUAUCGUCUCUUCCUAUUUUCUUUUCCAGAUAACAUACUUCAAGCUAAGAGUCUUUUUGGCAGAGAAUAGAGAUGGUGUUGAAGAGAUUUGGUAGCAACAUUAUAUUCUCCAAUGGACUGCAGGAUCCAUGGAGCGGAGGAGGGUGAGAGUUCCUCAUCCAUAUUCUUGGUCAUUCUUUAUUUUCUUUAGAACAAAGAGUUGAUGUUAAUGGCUUUUGUCAGUGUCCUGAAGAACAUAUCGAGCAGUAUCAUUGCGCUUGUGACCAGAAAAGGUUAACGUUCUUGAAGUAUAAGAGUGAAUUACACACGUCUGUUAGAAACAGGAGACUUAAAAAAGUGUUUCUUUAAAGCAGGAGCUCACCAUACGGAUCUCAGAGCUGCUACAAAAGACGACCCUGAGUGGCUGAAACAACAGAGGAGGCAAGAAGUUGCUAUUAUAGAGAAAUGGAUCAGUGAGUAUUACAAUGAUCUGGAACAAGAAGAACAAGCUAAGUGAUAAGUUCAUUGUCUGACUACCAAAAAAAAAAGAGAGUUCAUUGUCUGAUUGUCACGUGUCUCUCUGAGUGUCUGUAAUGAGUAAAAACUAUUAUCCAAUAAUAACCUUCAUUUGGAUUUUGAUUAAACAACAUAAGCUACAAUAAAGGGUGAUUCCUGAGUCUAACGAAAGUAUAGUCCCUUUUGAGAAGAAUAUAGAAUUCAAAGGGUAAAAUAAUAAAUUAGUAAAUAAAAGUAUAGCACCUUUUUUUCAGAAAGAUUAAAGAAUUCAAAAGGUCAAACCGUAAAUUCGUUCAGAGAGCGGUUUAUACAAUAUUACCGUGAGAAACGCACCACCGACAUCUGGACCGGACCCACUGAAACGCUGUCGUUUAACUAUUUCCCUCUCUAGUUGGUUUGGUUGGCCCCAUUCACACUCAUCAGCUCUGUUUCUAAAUCUACUUUCACACACUAAAUCGCCAUUGUUGCUGCACUUCCACCACUCUGAUUCAUUUCGAUUGAGCUUUCUUUUUUUUUCUUGCUAUGGCUCGUCGGUCUGGAGAUUGCAUGAGAUGCCUGGUGAUCUUCGCGGUUGUAUCUGCUUUAGUAGUGUGCGGACCUGCUCUUUACUGGAGAUUCAACAAAGGUUUCGUUGGAUCCACUCGUAAGAGCUCUGUUUGUCCUCCUUGCGUCUGUGGCUGCCCACCUCCUGUUUCCCUCCUCGAGAUCGCUCCUGGUAUGGUUUCGUUUUUGAUUGGAUCUGAGUUUAAAGAUUGGAUCUUUUAAUCAAGCUCCCUCUUUUAGAUUUUGAUGUUAUGUUGUCUCAGCUUGUGUAUAGAUUAACAAGUUGGUGUUUUUUUCUUUUUGCAGGGCUUGCAAAUCUCACUGUUACAGGUUAGAUCUUGAUUCUGAGCUUCAUUUUGUUUAGCUGCUUUGCGAGUGUUGUUUCCCUUACUGUUAUGUUCUGUCAAGUUGUAAACUUGGGUUGAUAGUGAGUGUUAUUCCAAAGUCUGUACCUUUAUGUUUUCUGAGUUUAGGCUUUUACGAGUUAUUUGGAGAACUGAAGUUUUGAUGAAUUAGUAGCCAUUAAUCAUCUCAAUUGAAGAAGCUUUAUUGCAGAACAGGCUAGUCAUUUUGGCAGUGUUACUCUGAUAGUUAUCUUGCUGAAUGACGUUUUCUGAUAAUUUAUAUAGAGUUAUAGCUCUUGUAUUCUCCUUUGAAGUAGUACGUUCAUUCUCUAACUUGUGUUGUGAACAGAUUGUGGAGGUGAUGAUCCGGAGCUCAAACAAGAAAUGGAGAAGCAGUUUGUGGACCUUCUGACCGAAGAGCUGAAGCUGCAAGAAGCAGUUGCAGAUGAGCAUAGCCGUCAUAUGAACGUUACACUCUUAGAAGCUAAGAGAGUUGCGUCUCAGUACCAAAAGGAAGCUGAGAAAUGCAACGCCGCCACUGAGAUCUGUGAGUC